This 678-nucleotide ribosomal RNA is filed under the name uncultured bacterium. Its description in RNAcentral is "bacterial SSU rRNA". It matches the Rfam family "Bacterial small subunit ribosomal RNA", at positions 824 to 1500 of the family's 1533-position model. The record is from RNAcentral.
AAGCCAUUCAGNUGGUUCGUGCCGGAGCUNACGCGUUAAGUAUGCCGCCUGGGGAGUACGGUCNCAAGGCCGAAACUCAAAGGAAUUGACGGGGGCCCGCACAAGCGGUGGAGCAUGUGGUNUAAUUCGACGCAACGCGAAGAACCUUACCUGGGCUCGAACGGCUGCUGACUGCCGAUGGAAACAUUGGUUUUCCCGCAAGGGACAGUAGUCGAGGUGCUGCAUGGCUGUCGUCAGCUCGUGUCGUGAGAUGUUGGGUUAAGUCCCGCAACGAGCGCAACCCUUGUCCUGUGUUGCUAACCGAAAGGUGCACUCUCAGGAGACCGCCAGCGAUAAGUUGGAGGAAGGUGGGGAUGACGUCAAGUCAUCAUGGCCUUUAUGUCCAGGGCUACACACGUGCUACAAUGGACGGUACAAAGCGCUGCAAACCCGCGAGGGGGAGCUAAUCGCAAAAAACUGUUCUCAGUUCGGAUUGCAGGCUGCAACUCGCCUGCAUGAAGCUGGAAUCGCUAGUAAUGGCAUAUCAGAACGAUGCCGUGAAUACGUUCCCGGGCCUUGUACACACCGCCCGUCACAUCACGAAAGUGGGUUGUACUAGAAGCCUGCAUGCUAACCCGCAAGGGAGGCAGCGGUCCAAGGUAUGACUCAUGAUUGGGGUGAAGUCGUAANCAAGGUACC